GUGCUUGCUUUGGCAGCACAUAUACUAAAAU
RNAcentral lists this small nuclear RNA (31 nucleotides) under Cervus elaphus hippelaphus. The record is from RNAcentral. Lineage: Eukaryota; Metazoa; Chordata; Mammalia; Artiodactyla; Cervidae.